UCGGCGGGUGAGUAACGCGUGAGAAUUUACCUUUAGGAGGGGGAUAACAACUGGAAACGGUUGCUAAUACCCCAUAUGCUUUCGAGUGAAAUGGAUUUCCGCCUAAAGAGAAGCUUGCGGCUGAUUAGCCUGUUGGUGAGGUAAUGGCUCACCAAGGCGACGAUCAGUAUCUGGUUUGAGAGGAUGAUCAGACACACUGGAACUGAGACACGGUCCAGACUCCUACGGGAGGCAGCAGUGGGGAAUUUUCCGCAAUGGGCGAAAGCCUGACGGAGCAAUACCGCGUGAGGGAUGACUGCCUAUGGGUUGUAAACCUCUUUUUUCAGGGAGGAAUCAAUGACGUGUACCUGAAGAAUAAGCAUCGGCUAACUCCGUGCCAGCAGCCGCGGUAAGACGGAGGAUGCAAGUGUUAUCCGGAAUCACUGGGCGUAAAGCGUCUGUAGGUGGUCAAAUAAGUCAACUGUUAAAUCUUGAGGCUCAACCUCAAAAUCGCAGUCGAAACUAUUAGACUAGAGUAUAGUAGGGGUAAAGGGAAUUUCCAGUGGAGCGGUGAAAUGCGUAGAGAUUGGAAGGAACACCAAUGGCGAAGGCACUUUACUGGGCUAUUACUAACACUCAGAGACGAAAGCUAGGGUAGCAAAUGGGAUUAGAUACCCCAGUAGUC
This 664-nucleotide ribosomal RNA is filed under the name uncultured cyanobacterium. Its description in RNAcentral is "bacterial SSU rRNA". It matches the Rfam family "Bacterial small subunit ribosomal RNA", at positions 99 to 795 of the family's 1533-position model. The record is from RNAcentral. Lineage: Bacteria; Bacillati; Cyanobacteriota.